UGGGGUGACGUCAAGUCCUCAUGGCCCUUAUGUCCAGGGCUACACACGUGCUACAAUGGGUGGUACAAAGAGAAGCCAACUCGCGAGAGCGCGCCAAUCUCAAAAAACCGGUCUCAGUUCGGAUUGCAGGCUGCAAUUCGCCUGCAUGAAGUCGGAAUCGCUAGUAAUCGCAGGUCAGCAUACUGCGGUGAAUACGUUCCCGGGCCUU
Molecule: ribosomal RNA, 208 nt
Filed under: uncultured Desulfotomaculum sp.
Lineage: Bacteria; Bacillati; Bacillota; Clostridia; Eubacteriales; Desulfotomaculaceae
Description: partial 16S ribosomal RNA
Rfam family: Bacterial small subunit ribosomal RNA
Source: RNAcentral